This 349-nucleotide RNase P RNA is filed under the name human gut metagenome. RNAcentral describes it as "Bacterial RNase P class A". It matches the Rfam family "Bacterial RNase P class A". From Rfam's summary of the family: Ribonuclease P (RNase P) is a ubiquitous endoribonuclease, found in archaea, bacteria and eukarya as well as chloroplasts and mitochondria. Its best characterised activity is the generation of mature 5'-ends of tRNAs by cleaving the 5'-leader elements of precursor-tRNAs. Cellular RNase Ps are ribonucleoproteins. The record is from RNAcentral.
AACGAUCGCGCCGACUUACCGCAAGGUUUUUCGGUGAGGAAAGUCCGGGCUUCAAAGAGCAGGAUAACGGAUAACGUCCGCCGGAGGUGACUCCCGGGAAAGUGCAACAGAGAUAUACCGCCGCAAGAAAUUGCGGUAAGGGUGGAAAGGCGAGGUAAGAGCUCACCGGCGCAGCGGAGACGCUGUUGCCCUGUAAACCCUAUCCGAAGCAACGCCUUGACGCAUUUUCUGCGUUAUGCGCAGAACCGUCUGCUCGGCGGAAUAUGCAAAGGCGGCACAGAGCUUUGCGGCAACGCAAAGACAAGAUAGAUGAUCGUUCGCGACAGAACCCGGCUUACAGUCCCGGUCG